Small nucleolar RNA from Artibeus jamaicensis (Jamaican fruit-eating bat), 132 nucleotides. RefSeq annotates it as small nucleolar RNA SNORA84. The transcript has a single exon. NCBI's taxonomy places the organism in Eukaryota, Metazoa, Chordata, Mammalia, Chiroptera, Phyllostomidae. The record is from RefSeq and is a predicted model, not a curated record.
GUCCUGUGGUUACUGGAUGCUGUAGUGCAAGUACACUUUUUCAGUGGAUGUGAGGAGCCAGAGCAAGCCUGUGAUCUACACAUGGAGCCUAUUCUCUUCCAUAGCAAGCACAGCCUUGUUACUGAUAAUAUG